UACGUAGGGGGCAAGCGUUGUCCGGAAUCAUUGGGCGUAAAGAGCGUGUAGGCGGCCAGAAAAGUCCGCUGUGAAAACUCGAGGCUCAACUUCGAGCUGUCGGUGGAAACUUUCUGGCUAGAGUCCGGAAGAGGAGAAUGGAAUUCCUGGUGUAGCGGUGAAAUGCGCAGAUAUCAGGAAGAACACCCGUGGCGAAGGCGGUUCUCUGGGACGGUACUGACGCUGAGACGCGAAAGCGUGGAGAGCGAACAGG
RNAcentral lists this ribosomal RNA (253 nucleotides) under uncultured bacterium. Its description in RNAcentral is "partial 16S ribosomal RNA". It matches the Rfam family "Bacterial small subunit ribosomal RNA", at positions 524 to 776 of the family's 1533-position model. The record is from RNAcentral.